AUGGAUGCUGACCACGGUGAACUUCCAAUCACAACUGGAGACGAAACUACCACUGUCACGGCCCGCUUUAUCAAGGGAGUUGACAAAAGGGCCACCAUCACUAAAGGCUGGAGCGACUUCUUUCGUCGGACACACAUGAACGAAGGGCAAGCAUAUGCUUUCGGCUUCAAAUGCACUUCCAAGGGAUUGCGCCUGUUUGUCUACUCAAUAUAA
RNAcentral lists this ribosomal RNA (213 nucleotides) under Triticum aestivum (bread wheat). RNAcentral's name for it is "partial small subunit ribosomal RNA". Lineage: Eukaryota; Viridiplantae; Streptophyta; Magnoliopsida; Poales; Poaceae. The record is from RNAcentral.